UACGGGGGGGGCAAGCGUUGUUCGGAAUUACUGGGCGUAAAGGGCGCGUAGGCGGCCUUCUAAGUCAGACGUGAAAUCCCUCGGCUUAACCGGGGAACUGCGUCUGAUACUGGAUGGCUUGAGUUCGGGAGAGGGAUGCGGAAUUCCAGGUGUAGCGGUGAAAUGCGUAGAUAUCGGGAGGAACACCUGUGGCGAAAGCGGCGCACUGGACCACAACUGACGCUGAGGUGCGAAAGCGUGGGGAGCAAACAGG
RNAcentral lists this ribosomal RNA (253 nucleotides) under uncultured bacterium. RNAcentral's name for it is "partial 16S ribosomal RNA". It matches the Rfam family "Bacterial small subunit ribosomal RNA", at positions 524 to 776 of the family's 1533-position model. The record is from RNAcentral.